Heterocephalus glaber (naked mole-rat) is the source of this 593-nucleotide long non-coding RNA. NCBI's taxonomy places the organism in Eukaryota, Metazoa, Chordata, Mammalia, Rodentia, Bathyergidae. The record is from Ensembl.
CUGAAAAAUGAGAAGUCUCACUUUCCCAAGGAAGCCACCGUGAUGGGAAUCAGCUCCUGUGAGGCCUUCUCCUGAGGGCGGGGCAGGCCUCUCUCUUGACCCAGCACAGGCAGUGUGUGCAAGGAAGAGGAAGAGCAGGAGGGCAGACAUGUUCGGUGGAUGCACUCAGAGCACCCCCACAGUGCCAGCCUCCUGCAGGCACCUGGUGCAAGUUAGUGAAACAAAUGCACGGACAGAGGGGACAACUACAGUGCCUGUGCUCGUGGGGCCACUGUGAAGACUGCAUGAAUUCCACCUGGACACCUCGCCAACAUCUUGAGGUCAGCUUGUGCUGAUCUCCAGAAUCCAUCCCCUCCCACCCCCGCUGCCCUGCUUCUACCUCUUCUCAGGCUCACCCAGUGUUACGGGCACUUCCCCUGCCCCAGGCCCUACAGCACCCAGCCUCUCCUUCAGCCUGGGGAGAAGGGAAGGGAGCAAAGGACUGUGGGAAGAAGGGAAGACAGCAGGGCUGGAAGCCUGCUUUAGGUACAACUAGGGGCCUUUUAAAUCUGCCACAAUGCUAUGUAGAAGAGACAAAAAUAAAUAUUGGAAAG